GGGCUAGCGUUGCUCGGAAUCACUGGGCGUAAAGGGUGCGUAGGCGGGUCUUUAAGUCAGGGGUGAAAUCCUGGAGCUCAACUCCAGAACUGCCUUUGAUACUGAAGAUCUUGAGUUCGGGAGAGGUGAGUGGAACUGCGAGUGUAGAGGUGAAAUUCGUAGAUAUUCGCAAGAACACCAGUGGCGAAGGCGGCUACCUGGACCGGUUCUGACGCUGAGGCGCGAAAGCGUGGGUAGCAAACAGG
RNAcentral lists this ribosomal RNA (245 nucleotides) under uncultured bacterium. RNAcentral describes it as "partial 16S ribosomal RNA". It matches the Rfam family "Bacterial small subunit ribosomal RNA", at positions 532 to 776 of the family's 1533-position model. The record is from RNAcentral.